This 3135-nucleotide long non-coding RNA is filed under the name Homo sapiens (human). RNAcentral's name for it is "HSALNT0381448". Lineage: Eukaryota; Metazoa; Chordata; Mammalia; Primates; Hominidae. The record is from RNAcentral.
AAUAUAUCGUGGUAUAUCCAAACAAUGGAAUAUUACCCAGCAAUAAAAUAAAAUAAACUUUUGAUACAUGCAGCAUUAUGGUUGGAUCUCAAUAUAAUUAAUCUGACAAACUUCAGACAAACUUAAAAUUCUAGAAAUGCACAUUAAUCUGUAGUCAUAGAUGGUCAGAUGGCUUCACAGCUGCAUUUCAAUGCUUAUCAAAUGCUAUGCCUUAAACAUGUGCAGCUCAUUGCUUGUCAAAUUACAACUCAAAAAAAUGUUAGAAAGAAUUAUCUCUUUGGUAUUUCCACAGAAUUUUGUUUUAAAUCUCUAUUACAGUGUUACCUUUGAAGUUAGAAACUUUAGAGUUAGAAGGCCUGGGAUGGAGUCCCAUUUCCAUUAAUUAUUAAGCAUGUGACUUUAGGGAAGUUAAAAUCAGUUUUGUCAUCUAUAAAAUGGAUAUAACUAAAGUGCUUCUCUCAGAAUAUUGUUCAGACGAUUGAAUGUAUCAACUUGGCACAUUGCCUAUCAACUGGUGAGUGCUCAAAAAUAUCCAUUGCUGUGAUCAGUAAUGCCACAGGGUGACCAUUUAAGGACAGAGUCCAUGUUUUAUCCAUCCUUAUGUUCCUACUAUGUUACUGUUGAACAAAGUACACUCUCAAUUACAGCUACAUAGGAGGAAUAAAUUCCGGUGUUCCGUACCACCAUAAGAUGACUGUAGCACACAAUAAUAUAUUAUAUAGUUUAAAAUAUCUAGAAGGAGAAUAUUGAAUAUUCCCAACACAAAGAAGUGAUAAAUGUUUGAGAUAUGAAUAUGGUAAUUACCCUAAUCUGAUCUCUAUAUAUUAUAUCAUUGAAACAUCACAAUGUACCUACAAAUAUGUACAAUUAUUACUUGUCAUUUAAAAAAAUAAAAAAUUGAGUAGGUUAAACUGGCUUAUUAUUGCAAACUGCCAGAGUAUAUUUAGCCAUUCCUUGGCAUUUGAUCAUUUGGAGCAUUUUCAGUUAGUUUUUUUAAUGUUCAGACAUACACAGCUAUAAUAUGUUGGCACAGUAAUCAUACAAACCCUCUCUUCCCCCAUUUCAACUUACUUCUUGGGAUAUAUUCUCAGGAAUAUUAUUAUCAGAAAGAGCAUGAUGAAAAUAUUGGAUCGUGGUGGCUAUUUUAUUUUGUCUAGGAUGUUUUCCCAUUUCCUGUCUUCUUGUUCACCUCCCUUUUCUUCAGGAAAUGCACAAGGAGGAGUGUGGUCCAGGGAGUGGUCAUUUAUAGUGCUCACCUUCACUGGAUGGGCUCCUCAUUCUCCUGUAUUCCUCUGGGAAAUGACUGAUUUGUCAGUGUUGGGGGAAGGACAUGUGACCUGAGUCUGUCCAAUCAGUGUCCAUGUUGGAGAGGGAAAGAUUCAGUCCUCUGUUUCUCUUGGAUCUUGAGAUAUAGGAUGCAGGCCUUAGAUGGUCAACAGCUCAGUCUUCAAUGGUGUGAGCUACUCUAGGGUCCUUCAAAAUUACAGAGGAAUGCAAUUUUUACUUACUUCAGAAAGUCUUGAACAAUAUGAUUGGUUUUGUGAUGUUUUUCUCUAAAUCUUACUCAAUUUGCUGUCCUGAAAGAUUACUCAUUUGCAAUGUCACUAGCAGGGGAUGAGUCAACCGACAUCCCCAUUGCCCCACAUACAUGGUUUUAGAAUUUUUAAAUUGCCUUUACUAAUUUAAUACGUAUGAGGGUCAUCUAAGUUUAGAAUUCUGGACCUAUGUAUACAUGUGCUAUGUUAUAUAUAUAUAUAUAUAUAUAUGAAAGAAAUACAUCAGCUUAUCUUAACCGUUCAUCAUUAAAAUGGUUGGAAAAAAAAGAAUUCUGGACCUAUAGCCCAUCUUGUCACAUAUUGCUUUUCUCAGACUCCUUCAGAAAUGCAACACAGAGGACUCUAGCCCAACGCAUAAUCUACACUCCAAACUGAAGUUUCUCCUUCAAACUUUGUCUGCUUUACCAUCCUGAUGAGCUUGCCUUCACAUUAACUCAAUGACCCAUGUUGCCCUGUUCACCGAAAUCCUGAAACCAACACUGAGGUAGUCCUGGAGCCUGGCUGUGGCUCUGCCCAACUUUCCUGAGCCACCUCCACUCCUUGCUACUACUGGUCACAGUGGAGAGAUACACAGAGGACAACAGGCAAGGAAAAAAGAGAGCUGAAGAUUAUCAUUAUUUCCUCACUCUUUUCAUCAAAGAUAUUAUCUCCUGGUCCUGAAAUAGUACUGCUCCUUGACACCCUCCUGAGAUACCAGACAAUAAAAAAUGUAGAUUUUAAAAAGUAACCAUCACCUUAUGCUUUAUAAUAAGCCACAAUUUUGUGCUGUUCUUAUUCUAUUAAAGACAAUCGCUACAAUAUAUAAACAUGGUUAGAAACCAUGCAAGCAAGAAAAGCAUGUGGUGAAAUAUUUAAAGAAUUGAAAGGAAAAAAAAAUCUACCUAGAAGUUUGUACCCAGUGAAAUUAUCCUCCAAAAGUGAAGGAAAAAUAAAGACUUUAUCAGAAAAAAGAAUUGAUGUAGACCUACCUUGCAAAGAAGGAUUACAAGAAGUUCUUCAGAGAGGAGGAAAAUGGUGUAGGUCAGAAACUUGGGUCUGCAUAAGCAACAGGGAGCAUCAGGAAAGAAGUUAGGUUGUCAAUAAAAGAGCCACGAGAGAGAGAGAAGAGAACUUGAAGAGACAAUAAAGGACACAAUUUGCUGCUUUCUGAAUCACUGAUGAAUCUGAGUCAGUUAAGGUAUAAAUGCUUCAAAAAUAAAUAGUAUGAAUGGCAAGAAUGGACUCUUGUUAAGUACUUUCUAAUAGUAGAAUUUGCAUUUAUUAUAAACCUGCAUCGAUGUUGCACUUUUAUCAAAAUUAAAGCCAUUAAGUCAAAUAAUCCUAGUUUAAUUAUGAAUAAGAGAUGUAUUAAUCAACUACUGUAAGUACAUUGUCACAUUAUUUAAAGAAAACUAAAAAAUCAUUUUGACAAGGAGAUCAUGUGCCAAACUUAAUAAACAUAGCCAGGACAAUUUGGGUUGCUUAAAGAUUUUUAAAAACAAAUUUGUAUGGAGAUUUUUGCAGCAUGGAUAUGGAUAUAGAUAUAGAUAAGUAGAUAUAUAUAUAUAUGAAACAAGAUCAUUAGCAAUGUUUAGGUCUG